This 112-nucleotide small RNA is filed under the name Salmonella enterica. RNAcentral describes it as "partial RtT sRNA". It matches the Rfam family "RtT RNA", at positions 21 to 130 of the family's 130-position model. Rfam says of the family: This family represents a bacterial cis-regulatory element known as RtT RNA. The exact function of RtT is unknown although it is thought that it may be involved in changing the cellular response in relation to amino acid starvation. RNAcentral also lists the same sequence under 1 other name. Lineage: Bacteria; Pseudomonadati; Pseudomonadota; Gammaproteobacteria; Enterobacterales; Enterobacteriaceae. The record is from RNAcentral.
GAUGAGAAGCUUCGACUAAGGUUCGAUUCGAGCGAAAGCGAGAAAGCGUUGCCAACGGCAACGACCCGAAGGGCGAAGCGCGCAGCGCUGAGUAAUCCUUCCCCCGUCAUCC